This 388-nucleotide ribosomal RNA is filed under the name uncultured organism. RNAcentral describes it as "bacterial SSU rRNA". It matches the Rfam family "Bacterial small subunit ribosomal RNA", at positions 45 to 433 of the family's 1533-position model. The record is from RNAcentral.
UGCUUUACACAUGCAAGUCGAACGGCAGCACGGGAGCUUGCUCCUGGUGGCGAGUGGCGAACGGGUGAGUAACAUAUCGGAACGUAUCCAAUAAUGGGGGAUAACUAGUCGAAAGACUUGCUAAUACCGCAUACGCCCUACGGGGGAAAGCAGGGGAUCGUAAGACCUUGCGUUAAUGGAGCGGCCGAUAUCUGAUUAGCUAGUUGGUGAGGUAAAGGCUCACCAAGGCGACGAUCAGUAGCUGGUCUGAGAGGACGACCAGCCACACUGGAACUGAGACACGGUCCAGACUCCUACGGGAGGCAGCAGUGGGGAAUUUUGGACAAUGGGCGCAAGCCUGAUCCAGCCAUUCCGCGUGAGUGAAGAAGGCCUUCGGGUUGUAAAGCUC